Molecule: RNase P RNA, 302 nt
Filed under: Candidatus Woesearchaeota archaeon CG10_big_fil_rev_8_21_14_0_10_32_9
Lineage: Archaea; Nanobdellati; Candidatus Woesearchaeota
Description: RNase P RNA component
Rfam family: Archaeal RNase P
About the family: Ribonuclease P (RNase P) is a ubiquitous endoribonuclease, found in archaea, bacteria and eukarya as well as chloroplasts and mitochondria. Its best characterised activity is the generation of mature 5'-ends of tRNAs by cleaving the 5'-leader elements of precursor-tRNAs. Cellular RNase Ps are ribonucleoproteins.
Source: RNAcentral
GUAGAGCAGGGAAUGACUAUCCAUAACAGGAGGAAAGUCCGCCCACUACGGUAAUCACUUGUGUUAUGCAAGGUUCAGAAAUGGACGGCAACCACUCAGAAAAGAGACCCCCUAUAUCCGGAAUGAUAGGCAGAACGUUCGGGUGACCGAAUAAACUAACUCCUUGACUAUGUUUAUAGGAAUGGAUGAAACUGUGAGUCCUGAUUUGUGCAACUCCAUUUGGAGGCUUAGUAGAAUGUCAUAAUCGGCCCAUCCGACUGAAAAGUUUGGGGCUGACAGAAGGCGGCUUACACCUGCUCUAC